Molecule: long non-coding RNA, 988 nt
Filed under: Mus musculus (house mouse)
Lineage: Eukaryota; Metazoa; Chordata; Mammalia; Rodentia; Muridae
Description: predicted gene 43050
Source: RNAcentral
GAAGGGGUAGAGACGGGUGCACUGUGCAGAGGGAAUUUUUUUUUCAGCGCCGGAUCCUGCAGAGGGGCGAGGCGCUCUAUUUUGUUUUGUGGAAAUCGGCAAUUAUUUCUAGUUGGAUCAAUGGGCAUAAUUUCUGAGAGGUCGGGUGGGUCUGCGUAAGCUUCUACGCGCAUUUGGAAACCCAUUGGGUUUUGAGUUACGAAACCGCACAGACUUUCUCCCACCCCAGCGGCUCCGGGCAAUAAGCUAGGCCUGCCCUACACGGAGCAAGCGAGCGUCAGGCCUUCCCGAGGAAGCAUGACCCGGUUCUGGUCGCAGUCCACCGAGGAUUGGAGCGGCAGUGACACGGGCGGCCCUGCAGCGGUAGAGCCAAGGUCAGGCCCCAAGGGACAGCGGGGCAGCAGCCUGCAGCACAGAUGCAGGACACCAGCGUGCAUCCCUGUUCUCUUCCCCAAGAGUCCAGGCUGCCCGGCCUGGUGCUCCAGCUUUGCUUUCGUUUCCCAGGCGAACGAGCCCCAAAUUCACGUUUUCACCCAAGAAUGCAAUCCAGAAUCCUUGUCCCCGUAUUCGAGUAGGGUGACCAGGAGAACCGAGGUGGGGGCAGGAAACCCAGACCGAGGGUGCCCCGCGAGUGGGCCGAGUUCCUUUCACUUUCCCCCAUUGCUCCGCAAUUUCGGGUGCAACUACCUGGGCCAAGCCCAGCUUCAGAGACUGGCCCCGUGCUCUGGAGAAAGCAACCACCACGGGAAGAGACUGCAGCCUCAGCGUCUCCUUGUCCGCUUCACCCUCAUCCUCUGUGCGGGAGAGGGCAGCAACAUACACGCCUGGCACCUUCCUUCUUUCCAAGAGUUGCGCUUUCCUAACCCUGCUCCCCGCUGGUUUUUCUCAUACUUCCUUGCCCCCUUUUGCAAAAUUUCCGCCUUGAUCUUAAAUACCUCGAAAGAUAGGAAGACCCGGAAUUCUAUUAAAACAAAACAAAACGUAAUGA